Molecule: ribosomal RNA, 497 nt
Filed under: uncultured bacterium
Lineage: Bacteria
Description: partial 16S ribosomal RNA
Rfam family: Bacterial small subunit ribosomal RNA
Source: RNAcentral
GAUGAACGCUGGCGGCGUGCCUAAUACAUGCAAGUCGAGCGAACAGAUGAGGAGCUUGCUCCUCUGACGUUAGCGGCGGACGGGUGAGUAACACGUGGAUAACCUACCUAUAAGACUGGGAUAACUUCGGGAAACCGGAGCUAAUACCGGAUAAUAUAUUGAACCGCCUGGUUCAAUAGUGAAAGACGGUUUUGCUGUCACUUAUAGAUGGAUCCGCGCCGCAUUAGCUAGUUGGUAAGGUAACGGCUUACCAAGGCAACGAUGCGUAGCCGACGUGAGAGGGUGAUCGGCCACACUGGAACUGAGACACGGUCCAGACUCCUACGGGAGGCAGCAGUAGGGAAUCUUCCGCAAUGGGCGAAAGCCUGACGGAGCAACGCCGCGUGAGUGAUGAAGGUCUUCGGAUCGUAAAACUCUGUUAUUAGGGAAGAACAAAUGUGUAAGUAACUAUGCACGUCUUGACGGUACCUAAUCAGAAAGCCACGGCUAACUACGUG